CUCAAUGUAGCAAAUUUAUGCGAUGGCUUUAAGCGUCAUAAAAAGAGUAACUCUCUUUGAGG
This 62-nucleotide transfer RNA is filed under the name Buthus occitanus (common European scorpion). RNAcentral's name for it is "tRNA-Leu". Lineage: Eukaryota; Metazoa; Arthropoda; Arachnida; Scorpiones; Buthidae. The record is from RNAcentral.